The sequence is a transfer RNA, 90 nucleotides long. It matches the Rfam family "tRNA". From Rfam's summary of the family: Transfer RNA (tRNA) molecules are approximately 80 nucleotides in length. Their secondary structure includes four short double-helical elements and three loops (D, anti-codon, and T loops).
GGAGACGUGGCUGAGUGGCCGAAAGCGCCUCACUGCUAACGAGGUAGGGUUUAAAAGCCCUCGGAGGUUCGAAUCCUCUCGUCUCCGCCA